CUUUUCUUGUAUCAAUUAUUCUAAUAAAAUAAGAAAAGCAUUAAGGCUUUUGUGAAGCUACAUCUUCAUGAAGUGUUGUCUGCUGACAGGAGUUACUGGAAGACUCAUCAAAAUAGGGACUAAUUGCAUACCAACUCUGUCAUGAUGUCUUGGAGUUGAAGGUUUAAUAUGUUUUGAAGCAUCACAGAAAAGUUCUUCCUCUCACCCCAACUUCUUCAGAAUCCAACUGAAGGCUGGAAAGUGAAAAUUUGUUC
Molecule: long non-coding RNA, 254 nt
Filed under: Coturnix japonica (Japanese quail)
Lineage: Eukaryota; Metazoa; Chordata; Aves; Galliformes; Phasianidae
Description: lncRNA (ENSCJPG00005013216.1)
Source: RNAcentral